Molecule: ribosomal RNA, 408 nt
Filed under: uncultured bacterium
Lineage: Bacteria
Description: partial 16S ribosomal RNA
Rfam family: Bacterial small subunit ribosomal RNA
Source: RNAcentral
GACGAACGCUGGCGGCGUGCUUAACACAUGCAAGUCGAACGAAGUGGCGAACGGGUGAGUAAUACGUGGGUAACCUGCCCUCCUUUUUGGGAUAAGCCUUGGAAACGGGGUCUAAUACCGAAUAAAGGGGGCUGGGCUCGCGGCCUAUCAGCUUGUUGGUGGGGUGAUGGCCUACGAAGGCGGUGACGGGUAGCCGGCCGGAGAGGGUGACCGGGCACAUUGGGACUGCGAUACGGCCAAGAGUGCCACGGGAGGGAACAGUGGGGGAAAGUGCGAAAGGGGCGAAAGGCAGAUGCAGCGACGCCGCGUGGGGGAUGAAGGCGUUCGGGUUGUAAAACUGGUUCGCUAGCGAAUCGGUAGGUGGAGAAGAAGCGCCGGCUAACUUCGUGCCAGCAGCCGCGGUAAUAC